UACGUAGGGGGCAAGCGCUGUCCGGAAUUAUUGGGCGUAAAGAGCGCGUAGGCGGUCCGGUAAGUCGGUUGUGAAAGUCGGGGGCUCAACCCUCGGAUGCCGAUCGAUACUGUCGGGCUAGAGUCCGGAAGAGGCGAGUGGAAUUCCUGGUGUAGCGGUGAAAUGCGCAGAUAUCAGGAGGAACACCAAUGGCGAAGGCAGCUCGCUGGGACGGUACUGACGCUGAGGCGCGAAAGCCAGGGGAGCAAACGGG
RNAcentral lists this ribosomal RNA (253 nucleotides) under uncultured bacterium. RNAcentral describes it as "partial 16S ribosomal RNA". It matches the Rfam family "Bacterial small subunit ribosomal RNA", at positions 524 to 776 of the family's 1533-position model. The record is from RNAcentral.